CCUACGGGGUGCAGCAGUGGGGAAUAUUGCACAAUGGGGGAAACCCUGAUGCAGCAACGCCGCGUGAGUGAAGAAGUAUUUCGGUAUGUAAAGCUCUAUCAGCAGGGAAGAAGAAAGACGGUACCUGACUAAGAAGCCCCGGCUAACUACGUGCCAGCAGCCGCGGUAAUACGUAGGGGGCAAGCGUUAUCCGGAUUUACUGGGUGUAAGGGGAGCGUCGACGGCUGUGCAAGUCUGAAGUGAAAGCCCGUGGCUCAACCGCGGAACUGCUUUGGAAACUGUAUAGCUGGAGUACUGGAGAGGCAGGCGGAAUUCCUAGUGUAGCGGUGAAAUGCGUAGAUAUUAGGAGGAACACCAGUGGCGAAGGCGGCCUGCUGGACAGAAACUGACGUUGAGGCUCGAAAGCGUGGGGAGAAAACAGGAUUAGAUACCCUAGUAGUC
This 441-nucleotide ribosomal RNA is filed under the name uncultured bacterium. Its description in RNAcentral is "partial 16S ribosomal RNA". It matches the Rfam family "Bacterial small subunit ribosomal RNA", at positions 338 to 795 of the family's 1533-position model. The record is from RNAcentral.